This 510-nucleotide ribosomal RNA is filed under the name Triticum aestivum (bread wheat). RNAcentral's name for it is "partial small subunit ribosomal RNA". Lineage: Eukaryota; Viridiplantae; Streptophyta; Magnoliopsida; Poales; Poaceae. The record is from RNAcentral.
AUGGCCGUGAUCCGCUCCUCGAUCUCCACCAGCUGUGUGCCGAACCUUUCGAACAACUCCAGCGCCUUGGCAUCCGACGUCCACUCUGGCGUGUCGCGCUGCCCGAGGUACACUUCGUCCGACGUGUGCUUCGACAGGGUCUCGAGGAGGGUCAGGGCGAGCAUGCUCUGGAAGCACUGGCUGAUGGUGUGGAUGAAAACCCUGUCGGCCUCUUCCUCACCACGCUCUAGCUGUGUAUACUCCUCCGUUCCGGGCACCGGCAUCUUCCGCCGGCUGACCGUUGGCCGGUUUGGGACGUACCCCGCAUACUGGUACUGCCCAAAGUUGACUGCCGCGUGCAGGGCCGACGCCACCCAGAUGAUGGUGAUGCACGUCUUGCCCAGCUCCUCGACGGUCUCCAUCUUGGGCCACCAGUCCUCGUCCUUGAGGUCGCCGUGCCCGACCUCGCGCACCUCUUUCCACCACUCCUUUAGCUCCUUGUCAGCCUGGAGCACGCCGUCGUUGGGGUAA